GCCUCUAAUCAAUUCCAAUU
This 20-nucleotide microRNA is filed under the name Tribolium castaneum (red flour beetle). Its description in RNAcentral is "tca-miR-6017-3p". Lineage: Eukaryota; Metazoa; Arthropoda; Insecta; Coleoptera; Tenebrionidae. The record is from miRBase by way of RNAcentral.